UGGUUGAUCCUGCCAGUAGUCAUAUGCUUGUCUCAAAAAUUAAGCCAUACAUGUGUAAGUAUGAACUAAUUCAAACUGUGAAACUGCGAAUGGCUCAUUAAAUUAGUUAUAGUUUGUUUAAUGGUAUCUGCUACUCAGAUAACCGUAGUAAUCUAGAGUUAAUAUGUGCAAAAAAUUUUGACUUCUGGAAGGAAUGCAUUUAUUAGAUAAAAGGUCGACGUGGGCUCUACCCGUUACUCUAAUGAUUCAUGAUAACUCCAUGGAUCGCAUAGCCAUCUUGUCGGUGAUGCAUCAUUCAAAUUUCUGCCCCAUCAACUUUCGAUGGUAGGAUAGAGGCCUACCAUGGUGGUGAUGGGGUCACGAAGGAUUAGGGUUUGAUUCUGAAGGGGGAGCCUGAGAAAUGGCCACCACAUCCAAGGAAGGCAGCAGGUGCGCAAAUUACCAAAACCUAAUACAGGGAGGUAGUGAUAAUAAAUAACAAUAUCGGGUUCUUCGAGUCUGGUAAUUCAAACUUAAUGAGGAUCCAUUGGAGGACAAGUAUGGUGCCAGCAGCCACAGUAAUUCCAGCUCCAAUAGCAUAUAUUUAAGUUGUUGUAGUUAAAAAGAUCGUAGUUGGACCUUGGGUUGGGUUGAACGGUCUGCCUCGCGUUGUGCACCUGUCGGCUCGUCCCUUCUGCCAGCGAUGCGCUCCUGGCCUUAACUAGCCAGGUUGUGCCUUUGGCAUUGUUACUUUGAAGAAAUUAGAAUACUUAAAGCAAGCCUACACUCUGUAUACAUUAGCAUGGAAUAACAUCAUAGGAUUUCAUUCUUAUUCUAUUGGCCUUCGAGAUUAGAGUAAUGAUUAACAUGGACAGUUAAGGGGCAAUCGUAUUUCAUAGUCAGAGGUAAAAUUUUUCGAUUUAUGAAAGGCGAACAACUACGAAAGCAUUUGCCAAAGAGUUUUUCAUUAAUCAAGAACGAAAGUUGGGGGCUCUGGGCUCGAAGACGAUCAGAUACCAUCCUAGUCUCAACCAUAAAUGAUGCCGACCAGGGAUCAGCGGAUGUUGCUUUUAGGACUCCGCCGGCACCUUAUGAGAAAUCAAAGGCUUUGGGUUUCGGGGGGAGUAUGGUCGCAAGGCUGAAAUUUAAAGCAAUUGACGGAAGGGCACCACCAAGAGUGGAGCUUGCGGCUUAAUCUGACUCAACACGGAGAAACUUACUCUAGACAUAGUAAGGAUUGACAGACUGAGAGCUCUUUCUUGAUUCUAUGGGUGGUGGUGCAUGGCCUUCUUAGUUGGUGGAGCGAUUUGUCUGGUUAAUUUCGUUAAUGAACGAUACUUCAGCCUGCUAACUAGUUAUGCAGAGGUGACCCUCCACAGCCAGCUUCUUAGAGGGACUAUGGCCUUUUAAGCCAAGAAAAUUUGAGGCAAUAACAGGUCUGUGAUACCCUUAGAUGUUUUGGGCUGUAUGCGCGUUACAUUGAUAUAUUCAACGAGUUUAUAGCCUUGGCCGACAGGCCCGGAUAAUCUUUGAAAUUUCAUUGUUGAUGGGGAUAGAUCAUUGCAAUUGUUGGUCUUCAACAAGGAAUUCCUAGUAAGGAGUCAUCAGCUCGCGUUGAUUACGUCCCUUCCCUUUGUACACAUCGCCUGUUGCUCCUACCGAUUGAAUGGUUCGAUGAAGUGUUCGGAUCGCAGCGACGUUGGCAGUUCAUCAUCGACGACGUUACGAGAAGUCCACUGAACCUUAUCAUUUAGAAGAAGGAGAAAUCGUAACAAGGUUUUCGUAGAUAAACCUACGAAAG
RNAcentral lists this ribosomal RNA (1780 nucleotides) under Manihot esculenta (cassava). RNAcentral's name for it is "SSU rRNA". It matches the Rfam family "Eukaryotic small subunit ribosomal RNA". The record is from RNAcentral. Lineage: Eukaryota; Viridiplantae; Streptophyta; Magnoliopsida; Malpighiales; Euphorbiaceae.